RNAcentral lists this long non-coding RNA (313 nucleotides) under Mytilus galloprovincialis (Mediterranean mussel). Lineage: Eukaryota; Metazoa; Mollusca; Bivalvia; Mytilida; Mytilidae. The record is from RNAcentral.
CCCCUAUGUUCUAAUUUUAGCCAUGGCGGCCAUCUUGGUUGGUUGGUUGGCCUGGUCACUAGACACAUUUUUCAAACUAGAUACCCUAAUGAUGAUUGUGGCUAACCUUGGUUUAAAUUGGCCCAGUAGUUUUAGAGAAGAAGAUUUUUGUAAAAGAUUACCAAGAUUUACGAAAAAUGGUUAAAAAUUUACUAUAAAGGGUAAUAACUCCUAUAGGGGUCAACUGACCAUUUUGUUCAUGUUUACCUAUUUGUCAUUAGACGCCAAGUGAUGAGAAAAGCUCACUCGGACCUUCAGGCCAGGUGAACUAAAA